Molecule: ribosomal RNA, 429 nt
Filed under: Bacteroidota bacterium
Lineage: Bacteria; Pseudomonadati; Bacteroidota
Description: Bacteroidetes bacterium partial 16S ribosomal RNA
Rfam family: Bacterial small subunit ribosomal RNA
Source: RNAcentral
UAGGGAAUCUUCGGCAAUGGGGUGAACCCUGACCGAGCAACGCCGCGUGAGUGAAGAAGGUUUUCGGAUCGUAAAGCUCUGUUGUUAAGGAAGAACGAGUGUGAGAAUGGAAAGUUCAUACUGUGACGGUACUUAACCAGAAAGGGACGGCUAACUACGUGCCAGCAGCCGCGGUAAUACGUAGGUCCCGAGCGUUGUCCGGAUUUAUUGGGCGUAAAGCGAGCGCAGGCGGUUAGAUAAGUCUGAAGUUAAAGGCAGUGGCUCAACCAUUGUAGGCUUUGGAAACUGUUUAACUUGAGUGCAGAAGGGGGGAGUGGAAUUCCAUGUGUAGCGGUGAAAUGCGUAGAUAUAUGGGGGAACACCGGUGGCGAAAGCGGCUCUCUGGUCUGUAACUGACGCUGAGGCUCGAAAGCGUGGGGAGCGAACAGG